Molecule: ribosomal RNA, 253 nt
Filed under: uncultured bacterium
Lineage: Bacteria
Description: partial 16S ribosomal RNA
Rfam family: Bacterial small subunit ribosomal RNA
Source: RNAcentral
UACAGAGGUCCCGAGCGUUGUUCGGAUUCACUGGGCGUAAAGGGUGCGUAGGUGGUGAGGUAAGUCGGAUGUGAAAUCUCCAAGCUCAACUUGGAAAUGGCAUUGGAAACUACCUUGCUCGAGGGUUUGAGGGGGGACUGGAAUACUUGGUGUAGCAGUGAAAUGCGUAAAUAUCAAGUGGAACACCAGUGGCGAAGGCGAGUCCCUGGAAAACUCCUGACACUGAGGCACGAAAUCUAGGGGAGCAAACAGG